RNAcentral lists this long non-coding RNA (213 nucleotides) under Panax ginseng (ginseng). Its description in RNAcentral is "long non-coding RNA (PGIN_LNC015049)". The record is from RNAcentral. Lineage: Eukaryota; Viridiplantae; Streptophyta; Magnoliopsida; Apiales; Araliaceae.
UGAAAAGUCUGUACAGCAUAGCAAUGAGGUCUACCAUUAAACUGCCCAGGUUUUAGCUGUACCAUACUCCAAAUGUUCCAAGACACAAUUUUUUAUUUCAAAAAACAUUAAACAAUCUCAAUUCGUUCGAUGAUAAUAAAAUAUAAAUUUAAUUUUUUUUUAAUAUUUUCAAAUAAUUUUCCCUCACGUUAAAUUGUGACUCGUUAUUAUGAG